Molecule: ribosomal RNA, 259 nt
Filed under: uncultured archaeon
Lineage: Archaea
Description: partial 16S ribosomal RNA
Rfam family: Archaeal small subunit ribosomal RNA
Source: RNAcentral
CUGACAUUAGAUACCCGCGUAGUCCAGGGUGUAAACGCUGCAGACUUGGUGUUGGGGGCCCUUUGGGGGCAUUCAGUGCCGGAGAGAAGUUGUUAAGUCUGCUACUUGGGGAGUACGUCCGCAAGGAUGAACUUAAAGGAAUUGCGGGGGAGCACCGCAACGGGAGGAGCGUGCGGUUUAAUUGGAUUCAACACCGUAAAACUCACCAGGGAAGACUGUUACAUGAAGGCCGAGAUGAAGACUCUGCUAGAUUUUUCAG